Molecule: ribosomal RNA, 253 nt
Filed under: uncultured bacterium
Lineage: Bacteria
Description: partial 16S ribosomal RNA
Rfam family: Bacterial small subunit ribosomal RNA
Source: RNAcentral
UACGUAGGGUGCAAGCGUUGUCCGGAAUUAUUGGGCGUAAAGAGCUCGUAGGCGGUUUGUCGCGUCUGCCGUGAAAGUCCGGGGCUCAACUCCGGAUCUGCGGUGGGUACGGGCAGACUAGAGUGAUGUAGGGGAGACUGGAAUUCCUGGUGUAGCGGUGAAAUGCGCAGAUAUCAGGAGGAACACCGAUGGCGAAGGCAGGUCUCUGGGCAUUAACUGACGCUGAGGAGCGAAAGCGUGGGGAGCGAACAGG